This 400-nucleotide ribosomal RNA is filed under the name phytoplankton environmental sample. RNAcentral's name for it is "partial small subunit ribosomal RNA". It matches the Rfam family "Eukaryotic small subunit ribosomal RNA", at positions 587 to 984 of the family's 1831-position model. The record is from RNAcentral.
AGCUCCAAUAGCGUAUAUUAAAGUUGUUGCAGUUAAAAAGCUCGUAGUUGGAUUUCUGAUUGAGACAUCGGGUCGGGUCCGAGAGGAUCAUGUACUUUGAUUUGUUUUGAUCAUCUUUGGAGAGAGCAAUUUUGGCAUUCAGUUGUCGAGGUUGGGAUCUUCAUCGUUUACUGUGAAAAAAUUAGAGUGUUCAAAGCAGGCCUCGGCCUCUGAAUACAUUAGCAUGGAAUAAUAAGAUAAGACUCUGGUGGUCUAUUUUGUUGGUUUGCACGCCAAAGUAAUGAUUAAUAGGGAUAGUUGGGGGUAUUCGUAUUCAAUUGUCAGAGGUGAAAUUCUUGGAUUUAUGGAAGACGAACUACUGCGAAAGCAUUUACCAAGGAUGUUUUCAUUAAUCAAGAAC